CCAAUAGCGUAUAUUAAAGUUGUUGCAGUUAAAAAGCUCGUAGUUGAAUUUUGGGUUUGGCCGAUUGGUCCGUUCUUGUAACGAGUACUGGUCGGUUGGGCCUCACCGCCUGGUAAUGCGUAAUGCCCUUUAUUGGGUGUUGCGAGUAGCCAGGACCUUUACCUUGAAAAAAUUAGAGUGUUUAAAGCAGGCUUAUGCCGGAAUACAUUAGCAUGGAAUAAUAGAAUAGGACGAUGAUUCUAUUUUGUUGGUUUCUAGGAGCAUUGUAAUGAUUAAUAGGGAUAGUUGGGGGCAUUAGUAUUCAAUUGUCAGAGGUGAAAUUCUUGGAUUUAUUGAAGACUAACUACUGCGAAAGCAUUUGCCAAGGAUGUUUUCAUUAAUCAAGAACGAAAGUUAGGGGAUCGAAGACGAUCAGAUACCGUCGUAGUCUUAACCAUAAACUAUGCCGACUAGGGAUCGGGCGAUGUUGUUUCAAUGACUCGCUCGGCACCUUAUG
RNAcentral lists this ribosomal RNA (496 nucleotides) under uncultured Glomeromycotina. RNAcentral describes it as "partial small subunit ribosomal RNA". It matches the Rfam family "Eukaryotic small subunit ribosomal RNA", at positions 591 to 1092 of the family's 1831-position model. The record is from RNAcentral. Lineage: Eukaryota; Fungi; Glomeromycota.